RNAcentral lists this transfer RNA (71 nucleotides) under Brachyplatys subaeneus. Its description in RNAcentral is "tRNA-Leu". The record is from RNAcentral. Lineage: Eukaryota; Metazoa; Arthropoda; Insecta; Hemiptera; Plataspidae.
ACUAUUUUGGCAGAUUAGUGCGGUAAAUUUAGAAUUUAUUUAUGUAAUUAUUAUUAGGAUUGCAGGUAGUA